This 496-nucleotide ribosomal RNA is filed under the name uncultured bacterium. Its description in RNAcentral is "partial 16S ribosomal RNA". It matches the Rfam family "Bacterial small subunit ribosomal RNA", at positions 30 to 523 of the family's 1533-position model. The record is from RNAcentral.
AUUGAACGCUGGCGGAAUGCUUUACACAUGCAAGUCGAACGGUAGAGGGGGCAACCCCUCGAGAGUGGCGAACGGGUGAGUAAUAUAUCGGAACGUGCCCAGUCGUGGGGGAUAACGUAGCGAAAGUUACGCUAAUACCGCAUACGAUCUAAGGAUGAAAGCGGGGGAUCGCAAGACCUCGCGCGAUUGGAGCGGCCGAUAUCAGAUUAGGUAGUUGGUGGGGUAAAGGCUCACCAAGCCAACGAUCCGUAGCUGGACUGAGAGGACGACCAGCCACACUGGAACUGAGACACGGUCCAGACCCCUACGGGAGGCAGCAGUGGGGAAUUUUGGACAAUGGACGCAAGUCUGAUCCAGCCAUUCCGCGUGCAGGAUGAAGGCCCUCGGGUUGUAAACUGCUUUUGUACGGAACGAAAAGGUCUCUCUUAAUACGGGGGACUCAUGACGGUACCGUAAGAAUAAGCACCGGCUAACUACGUGCCAGCAGCCGCGGUAA